GGUUGAUCCUGCCAGUAGUCAUACGCUUGUCUCAAAGAUUAAGCCAUGCAUGUCUAAGUAUAAACAACUUUGUACUGUGAAACUGCGAAUGGCUCAUUAUAUCAGUUAUAGUCUACUCGAUAGUACCUUACUACUUGGAUAACCGUAGUAAUUCUAGAGCUAAUACAUGCAUACAUACCCAACUGCUUGUCGGGCGGGUAGCAUUUAUUAGAUUGAAACCAAUGCAGCUUUCGGGCUGGUAUUGUGUUGAGUCAUAAUAACUGUGCGGAUCGCACUCUGUGCGAUAAAUCGAU
Molecule: ribosomal RNA, 293 nt
Filed under: uncultured eukaryote
Lineage: Eukaryota
Description: partial 18S ribosomal RNA
Rfam family: Eukaryotic small subunit ribosomal RNA
Source: RNAcentral